Long non-coding RNA from Bufo bufo (common toad), 441 nucleotides. RefSeq lists it as uncharacterized. The record is from RefSeq and is a predicted model, not a curated record. The transcript has 2 exons. NCBI's taxonomy places the organism in Eukaryota, Metazoa, Chordata, Amphibia, Anura, Bufonidae.
GCAGUCCCUUGGACGUCUCAUGGUGACCUCACUCCGACAGUUCUCUUUGCCCAUAAAAGGAGCACACCCAAAACCAGGAAAUACGGAGCGGACCUGCCCGGCCAUCCUACAGCUGAUAACUGGGGGUCCUGGCGGGGAGACGUCUUCUGAUUAGUUUAUUGUCAAGGAUUGUCCAAACCCUUCAAUGUAAUAGGAAACCAGUAAUGUCUAAGACGACGUUCACACUCAGUCCCUCAUGCAGAGCCAUUCUUCCUAUGAAAAUGACAGAAACCACAGCAGCGCUGAAAGUCGACGUGGCGUCUGUCGGGUGCGUGUGGUAUCUGCCAUGACAUCGAUCCGGCAACUCAUCCUGGUCUCCAUUAAUGAAAACCACAACACAAGUGUCAUCAAAUUAAAGGGUUGGAAUUUUUUUUUUUUUAAAGGAAAAAUGGCUUUAAAAAA